AGUCGAGCGAACGGACGAGAAGCUUGCUUCUCUGAUGUUAGCGGCGGACGGGUGAGUAACACGUGGAUAACCUACCUAUAAGACUGGGAUAACUUCGGGAAACCGGAGCUAAUACCGGAUAAUAUUUUGAACCGCAUGGUUCAAAAGUGAAAGACGGUCUUGCUGUCACUUAUAGAUGGAUCCGCGCUGCAUUAGCUAGUUGGUAAGGUAACGGCUUACCAAGGCAACGAUGCAUAGCCGACCUGAGAGGGUGAUCGGCCACACUGGAACUGAGACACGGUCCAGACUCCUACGGGAGGCAGCAGUAGGGAAUCUUCCGCAAUGGGCGAAAGCCUGACGGAGCAACGCCGCGUGAGUGAUGAAGGUCUUCGGAUCGUAAAACUCUGUUAUUAGGGAAGAACAUAUGUGUAAGUAACUGUGCACAUCUUGACGGUACCUAAUCAGAAAGCCACGGCUAACUACGUGCCAGCAGCCGCGGUAAUACGUAGGUGGCAAGCGUUAUCCGGAAUUAUUGGGCGUAAAGCGCGCGUAGGCGGUUUUUUAAGUCUGAUGUGAAAGCCCACGGCUCAACCGUGGAGGGUCAUUGGAAACUGGAAAACUUGAGUGCAGAAGAGGAAAGUGGAAUUCCAUGUGUAGCGGUGAAAUGCGCAGAGAUAUGGAGGAACACCAGUGGCGAAGGCGACUUUCUGGUCUGUAACUAACGCUGAUGUGCGAAAGCGUGGGGAUCAAACAGGAUUAG
This 739-nucleotide ribosomal RNA is filed under the name uncultured Staphylococcus sp. RNAcentral's name for it is "bacterial SSU rRNA". It matches the Rfam family "Bacterial small subunit ribosomal RNA", at positions 60 to 781 of the family's 1533-position model. The record is from RNAcentral. Lineage: Bacteria; Bacillati; Bacillota; Bacilli; Caryophanales; Staphylococcaceae.